AGCUUUGCACAUUGGCAGCGUCGUAGCCAAUGAGGUUUAUCCGAGGUACAGUUAUUGCUCAUAAAAGAAAAAAAGUUCAGAUGAUGGAAACAUAUGGUCAGGUGUGUGUUUAGUAAAUUAUGCUGAACUUCAAUGU
This 136-nucleotide small nuclear RNA is filed under the name Myotis lucifugus (little brown bat). Its description in RNAcentral is "U4 spliceosomal RNA". It matches the Rfam family "U4 spliceosomal RNA". From Rfam's summary of the family: U4 small nuclear RNA (U4 snRNA) is a component of the major U2-dependent spliceosome. The structure of U4 snRNA from yeast and human has been reported. Lineage: Eukaryota; Metazoa; Chordata; Mammalia; Chiroptera; Vespertilionidae. The record is from Rfam by way of RNAcentral.